This 63-nucleotide transfer RNA is filed under the name Pyralis farinalis. RNAcentral describes it as "tRNA-Cys". Lineage: Eukaryota; Metazoa; Arthropoda; Insecta; Lepidoptera; Pyralidae. The record is from RNAcentral.
AGUCUUAUAGUCAAAAAUGAUAUAAAAUUGCAAAUUUUAAGGUAUAAUAAGUUAUUAAGGCUU